This 215-nucleotide long non-coding RNA is filed under the name Brassica napus (rape). RNAcentral's name for it is "long non-coding RNA (BNAP_LNC019449)". The record is from RNAcentral. Lineage: Eukaryota; Viridiplantae; Streptophyta; Magnoliopsida; Brassicales; Brassicaceae.
UAUAUGAUCUGAAUAUCCUAGGAACCUCUGGAUACAAUUUUCCAAAUAGUUGAAUAUCUCAACAAAGAGUUUGAGAUGAAAGAACUUGGAAAACAAAGUUUUGUUUGGGAUUACAGCUUGAGUACAUUAACAAUGAAAUCCUUGUGCAUCAAAUAGUAUAUAUAGAAAAGGGUACUAAAGAGAUUUAAUAUGGACCAGUCUCACCUAUUAUCUAG